CUACAGAGGGUGCGAGCGUUAAUCGGAAUUACUGGGCGUAAAGCGCGCGUAGGCGGCUUGGUCAGUCGGAUGUGAAAGCCCCGGGCUCAACCUGGGAAUGGCAUUCGAUACUGCCCGGCUAGAGUAUGGGAGAGGGAAGUGGAAUUUCCGGUGUAGCGGUGAAAUGCGUAGAUAUCGGAAGGAACACCAGUGGCGAAGGCGACUUCCUGGCCCAAUACUGACGCUGAGGUGCGAAAGCGUGGGGAGCGAACAGGAUUAGAAACCCUAGUAGUCC
This 274-nucleotide ribosomal RNA is filed under the name uncultured bacterium. RNAcentral's name for it is "partial 16S ribosomal RNA". It matches the Rfam family "Bacterial small subunit ribosomal RNA", at positions 523 to 796 of the family's 1533-position model. The record is from RNAcentral.